CGGUGAGAGGGGAAUAGAGAGUGACUGCUACUGGGUACAGGGUUUCUUUUUAGGAUAUAAAAAUGUUCUAAAUUAAGAUUGUGUAUAAUCAAAUUCAA
Molecule: long non-coding RNA, 98 nt
Organism: Myotis davidii
Lineage: Eukaryota; Metazoa; Chordata; Mammalia; Chiroptera; Vespertilionidae
Exons: 3
Source: RefSeq, a predicted model, not a curated record